UACGUAGGGUGCAAGCGUUGUCCGGAAUUAUUGGGCGUAAAGAGCUCGUAGGCGGUUUGUCGCGUCUGCUGUGAAAACUCGGGGCUUAACUCCGGGCCUGCAGUGGGUACGGGCAGACUAGAGUGCGGUAGGGGAGACUGGAAUUCCUGGUGUAGCGGUGAAAUGCGCAGAUAUCAGGAGGAACACCGGUGGCGAAGGCGGGUCUCUGGGCCGUAACUGACGCUGAGGAGCGAAAGCGUGGUGAGCGAACAGG
This 253-nucleotide ribosomal RNA is filed under the name uncultured bacterium. Its description in RNAcentral is "partial 16S ribosomal RNA". It matches the Rfam family "Bacterial small subunit ribosomal RNA", at positions 524 to 776 of the family's 1533-position model. The record is from RNAcentral.